GACGAACGCUGGCGGCGUGCUUAACACAUGCAAGUCGAGCGGAAAGGCCACUUCGGUGGUACUCGAGCGGCGAACGGGUGAGUAACACGUGAGUAAUCUGCCCCUGGCUUUGGGAUAGCCACCGGAAACGGUGAUUAAUACCGGAUACGACCACUUCUCGCAUGGGAUGGUGGUGGAAAGUUUUUUCGGCCAGGGAUGUGCUCGCGGCCUAUCAGCUUGAUGGUGAGGUAAUGGCUCACCAUGGCUUCGACGGGUAGCCGGCCUGAGAGGGUGGCCGGUCACACUGGGACUGAGACACGGCCCAGACUCCUACGGGAGGCAGCAGUGGGGAAUAUUGGACAAUGGGCGGAAGCCUGAUCCAGCAACGCCGCGUGAGGGAUGACGGCCUUCGGGUUGUAAACCUCUUUUAGCAGGGAAGAAGCGAAAGUGACGGUACCUGCAGAAAAAGCACCGGCUAACUACGUGCCAGCCGCCGCCGUAA
Molecule: ribosomal RNA, 481 nt
Filed under: uncultured bacterium
Lineage: Bacteria
Description: partial 16S ribosomal RNA
Rfam family: Bacterial small subunit ribosomal RNA
Source: RNAcentral